This 772-nucleotide long non-coding RNA is filed under the name Mytilus galloprovincialis (Mediterranean mussel). The record is from RNAcentral. Lineage: Eukaryota; Metazoa; Mollusca; Bivalvia; Mytilida; Mytilidae.
GUGUAAUCUUCAUAGACUAUAUUAGACGGAUUAAAAUAGGCUGCGAAACAAUCCUCAUCUUUCCACUGGAAAAAGUUAAGAGGAGAUAAGUAAACACAGUCCACGACACUUCUAGUUCCUUUGAUACCAUGAUUAUCCGGUUCACUAGGUGGACCUUGAUACCAAUCAGUGAAUGAAAGAGGAUGACCAGAAAUCCAUUCAAACGAGCCUUCGAUCUUUAUGUCUAUUAAACCAAUCCACCAGUUAUCUAGAGAUAAGAUAUUCGUUAGCUGACAUUGAUUUAUAUUUUUAAUCCAAAUCUAAAUAACAUCAACAUCACACAAAACCUUUUUUAAGUAUAUUGACAAGAUUAUUUCGGUGUCAAAAGAGGAUUUAUUAAUCAUAAAAGUCAUUUGUAAGAACCUCUUUUAGAUAGCAAAAGGGGUCAACAAUAAUGUUCUACAAAUAAGUCAGUACCGGAAUUGUUAGACCACUCACAUUAAUGCCCUUCAAUGAUAAUUUUAAAAAACAGAUCUAUAAUUUUUUGUCCGUAUCUUGAAAGCUAUAGUAGAAAAAAAGAAACUAUGAAAAAGGAAAAAUUAUAAAUAGGAUCAGAUCUACAACUAUAUCAACAUCACUGAAACUAUUGGUUAUCUUUCAAAAGAGUUAUGUUCCUUUAAUGAUGUUUGUACUAUAAAAAGAAGCCAAUAUUGAAGAUGUAGGUGAGCGGCAAAGACUUUUUACAUUAUCUUGUUUAAUAAAAGAAUUUAGAUAUUCAUUUUUUGAACACGCA